This is a long non-coding RNA of Telopea speciosissima, 252 nucleotides long. RefSeq lists it as uncharacterized. The transcript is spliced from 2 exons. The record is from RefSeq and is a predicted model, not a curated record. NCBI's taxonomy places the organism in Eukaryota, Viridiplantae, Streptophyta, Magnoliopsida, Proteales, Proteaceae.
UAUCAGGAAGGAACAUGAUAUCCAAAAUUGGGCUCAAUUGGCAGUCGGAUGGGCUGAAAUCUUUAAGAGAAGAUUGAGAACACAAGUUGACAGAACUGAUAUGCAGGAACAGAAACUUAGGAAGAAGAUUAAGAAUGGACCCAAGGAAGGUGGAAUCGAACUCACAAGAAGAUGGAUGUUGUUUACGUUGUUAAACAUCCACACACUCGCCUUGUAGCUUGCUGAAACUGAGAACAAGAUGGAGAGAAGAGA